AACGAACGCUGGCGGCAUGCCUAACACAUGCAAGUCGAACGAGACCUUCGGGUCUAGUGGCGCACGGGUGCGUAACGCGUGGGAACCUGCCCUUAGGUUCGGAAUAACUCCCCGAAAGGGGUGCUAAUACCGGAUAAUGUAUUCGGACCAAAGAUUUAUCGCCUUUGGAUGGGCCCGCGUUGGAUUAGCUGGUUGGUAGGGUAAAAGCAUGGCAAGGCGCCGAUCCAGAGCUGGUCUGAUAGGAUGAUCAGCACCGCUGGGGCUUAGACACGGCCCAGACUGCGACGGAAGGCAGCAGUGGAGAAUAUUGGGCGAGGAACGAAAGCCUGAUCCAGCAGCGCCGGGGAAGUGGGGAAUGCCGUAGGAUUGUGAAGCUCUUUUACCCGGGAUGAUAAUGACAGUACUGGGAGAAGAAGCACCGGCUAACUCCGUG
This 433-nucleotide ribosomal RNA is filed under the name uncultured bacterium. Its description in RNAcentral is "partial 16S ribosomal RNA". It matches the Rfam family "Bacterial small subunit ribosomal RNA", at positions 29 to 507 of the family's 1533-position model. The record is from RNAcentral.